This 253-nucleotide ribosomal RNA is filed under the name uncultured bacterium. RNAcentral describes it as "partial 16S ribosomal RNA". It matches the Rfam family "Bacterial small subunit ribosomal RNA", at positions 524 to 776 of the family's 1533-position model. The record is from RNAcentral.
UACGUAGGGUGCAAGCGUUGUCCGGAAUUAUUGGGCGUAAAGAGCUCGUAGGCGGUCUGUCGCGUCGGCUGUGAAAACCCGGAGCUCAACUCCGGGCCUGCAGUCGAUACGGGCAGACUGGAGUUCGGCAGGGGAGACUGGAAUUCCUGGUGUAGCGGUGAAAUGCGCAGAUAUCAGGAGGAACACCGGCGGCGAAGGCGGUUCUCUGGGCAUGUCCUGACGCUGAGGAGCGAAAGUGUGGGGAGCGAACAGG